This 340-nucleotide long non-coding RNA is filed under the name Medicago truncatula (barrel medic). Its description in RNAcentral is "lncRNA gene25723". The record is from RNAcentral. Lineage: Eukaryota; Viridiplantae; Streptophyta; Magnoliopsida; Fabales; Fabaceae.
CACUUUUUACCUUUCUUUAUAUGCAAGAAUUCUUUUUAUUGGCAAUUGCAUAUAUUUUGUCACCAGUGUUAUCAUUGUUUCUUCUUUCAUUCCUAUUUCCCCGGCCAACAACAUAUGAUUGCCUAAUUACAUUUUUUUUUUCAUCCAUGAUUUCCUAACUACAUAUUGUUAUUGGAUCAAAUCAUUAGGCAGUUUGAUUCACAUAUGAUAUUUGCUUUGAGUUCAGAUCUUGCAGUAUUAGUCAUGAGUCAUGGAUAAUUAUAUAUCUAAAUUCAUAUGUGUUAUUUGAAUACACAAUUUUUUACAUUAUAUCUCGACACCAUUUACUAUUAACGUGAUG